Oreochromis niloticus (Nile tilapia) is the source of this 46-nucleotide non-coding RNA. The record is from Rfam. NCBI's taxonomy places the organism in Eukaryota, Metazoa, Chordata, Actinopteri, Cichliformes, Cichlidae.
ACAACGGCUCUUUUAAGAGCCACACAACUCAUCCUAAGAAAUAAGU